AAUAAAAAUAAUUUUAAAUAAUAUUUGUGGGGUUAGAGUAUUAUUUAAAGAAAAAAUUAUUAAUUUUAUAGUUAAUUAAGUAUUGAAGAAGAAUUUUGAAAUAUUUGAAAAUAAAUUUAUUAAAAAGUAAUUUUUAUUUAGUGUAUCUUGUGUAUCAGAGUUUAUUAAAAAUUUUAUAAAAUAUUUUUAUUUUCUCGAAUUUAAAAGAGUUAAAUAAUUAAUAAAUUUAUUGUUGAAAAAAUAUUUUAAAUAAUUAUUUUGAAAUGAAAUGUUAUUCGUUUUUAAAUAUAUCUAGUUUUUUUAGAAAAAAAUUUAAUUUUAAAUUUAAAAAUAAAUUUAAUUAAUUAAUAAAUUUAAUUAAUUUUUAAAUUUUAUAUUUUAGGGGAUAAGCUUUAAAUUAAAUUUUUAUAUUAAUUUAUUGAAUUAUGAAAUUUAUAUAAUUUAUAUUAUUAAUAAAUUUUAAUUUGUUAUAAAUAAUUUCAUUAAAAAAAAAAUUUAAUAUUUAAUUAAUUUUUUAUGGAAAAAUUAUUUUUAAUGUUAUUAAGGUUAGUUAUAAUGAUAAAAUUAGUAUAUUAUAUUAUACAUAAUAUAUAUAUAUAUAUAUAUAUAUAUAUAUAUUAUGUAUAAUUAUUAUUAUUUGUUAUUUAUUUAUUUAAAUAAUUUAUUUUAAGGAAUUCGGCAAAUAUUUAUAUUCACUUGUUUAACAAAAACAUGUCUUUUUGUAUUAAUUUAAAGUCUAAUCUGCCCACUGAUUAAAAUUAAAGGGCUGCAGUAUAUUGACUGUACAAAGGUAGCAUAAUCAUUAGUCUCUUAAUUGGUGACUUGUAUGAAAGAUUGGAUGAAAUAUAUACUGUCUCUAAAUAAAUUUAUAGAAUUUAAUUUUUUAUUUAAAAAGUUAAAAUUUUUUAAAAAGACGAGAAGACCCUUUAGAGUUUAAUAAUUAUUUUUUUUUAUUUUUUAUUUAUAAAUUUAUUAAUUAUAAUAAUAAUAAUUAUUUUGUUGGGGUGAUAAAAAAAUAAAAUUAACUUUUUUUAAAAAUUAAAAUCAUAAAUAAGUGUUUUAUUGAUCCAAUUUUAUUGAUUAUAAGAUUAAAUUACCUAAGGGAUAACAGCGUAAUUUUUUUUUUUAGUUCAAAUAAAAAAAAAAGUUUGCGACCUCGAUGUUGGAUUAAGAUAAAAUUUAAAUGCAAAAGUUUAAAAUUUUGAUCUGUUCGAUCAUUAAAAUCUUACAUGAUCUGAGUUCAAACCGGUGUAAGCCAGGUUGGUUUCUAUCUUUUAAUUAUUUAAAUAUUUUAGUACGAAAGGAUCAAAUAUUUUAAUUAAAUUAUUAAUUUUGAAUAUUAUUAAA
This 1347-nucleotide ribosomal RNA is filed under the name Tanaorhinus viridiluteata. RNAcentral's name for it is "16S ribosomal RNA". The record is from RNAcentral. Lineage: Eukaryota; Metazoa; Arthropoda; Insecta; Lepidoptera; Geometridae.